This 306-nucleotide long non-coding RNA is filed under the name Androctonus crassicauda. Lineage: Eukaryota; Metazoa; Arthropoda; Arachnida; Scorpiones; Buthidae. The record is from RNAcentral.
CCAACAACACCAAUAUAUAUCUCUUCCAUGUGCCUUAAGAAACAUGAAAGUAAUGAAACAGAUGGUGAAAGCUGCAAGAGGGGGUCCAGCAUACAGAUGGAAUCAAACUAUUUUCAAUCUUUUAAGGGGCGGGAGGGAGGGGAGAAGAGAUGCAGGGGGGAGGGGCGUAUGUAAGAUUCCAGUGGGGUGUGAAGACAUGCAGCGGCGGUCCUCCUAUAUAGGUGUCACUGCUGGGAACUUGAGAAAAGGAGUGGGGGAGCAUAGGGAAGAUGUUGGGGAGGGAAACAUAUCUACAGCCCUGUCGGC